This 362-nucleotide ribosomal RNA is filed under the name Cinetorhynchus erythrostictus. Its description in RNAcentral is "partial small subunit ribosomal RNA". It matches the Rfam family "Microsporidia small subunit ribosomal RNA", at positions 752 to 1197 of the family's 1311-position model. Lineage: Eukaryota; Metazoa; Arthropoda; Malacostraca; Decapoda; Rhynchocinetidae. The record is from RNAcentral.
AUAGCUCGGGUAGUAAAAGUUAUGGGCUUCAAACCUAAAGAAAUUGGCGGCAUCUUAGCUAAUUAGAGGAACCUGUCCCUUAAUACGAUAAACCACGAAAUGAUCGAACUUACUAUUGUACAUGAUCAGUUUGUAUACCGUCAUCUUCAGGUGGGUUUCAUAGAACUUAACCUAUAGGCUCCGAGAGAGGGGAGGAAAGUUAGAUCAAGGUGCAGCUUAUUAGUAAGAGGUGAGAUGUGUUACAAUGUAUAAUGUGGUGCGGAGGUAAGUUUUUAAAGGGCUUAUUGAAGUAGGAUUUAACAGUAAUAAUGAAAUAUAGUAAGGCAUUAUGAUUUUAGCUCUGGGGUGUGUACAUAUCGCCC